This is a long non-coding RNA of Crotalus tigris (Tiger rattlesnake), 2727 nucleotides long. RefSeq lists it as uncharacterized. The transcript is spliced from 2 exons. NCBI's taxonomy places the organism in Eukaryota, Metazoa, Chordata, Lepidosauria, Squamata, Viperidae. The record is from RefSeq and is a predicted model, not a curated record.
ACAGAUUCAGGUUGAAUAAAUUUAAGCUAGAAUUGGAUAUUUUAAAUACACUAUGCUAUUUGAGGGAAAAAGAGAGGGAUUAUUUGUGUAUUGAUUGUACUAUGUAUAUAUGUUUUGUUCUAGGAUGUUUGAUUAUCCCAGCACCACAGUGUGUCCUGAAUACUUUGUUUUAAGAAAUAAAAAAACAAUAAAAUUUGUUUUAAAAAAAUAGUGAAAAGUUAUAAAACGAUGCAUCCAAGAACUCAUCUGGAAUGGCAAUGGAAACCAAGCCAAAUAAUAAAAUGGGACUUGGAUAAAUGUUAUGACUCAAAUAGUGGCAUUUUUGCUUCCAUUCCCCUCCCGCUAAGAAUGAGGAAUCUGAUGAGUCCAUGUUAAUGUGUUUAUGUUCUGAAAUAAAUAGUUCUAUCCAACAAUAUUCUUCUAUAGAUGGAAGGACUUUUUCACAGCUCUUCUGUUAACUGAACUGAAUUGGAAUUCAAAAGAGGGAGAACAAUUAGAAAAAAAGCCUUCAUGCCAUCAGUUUAUCAAUGUGUCUGUUUUAAGUGAAAAUUUACUUGGGGAUAUUCUUCCUUUGGACAAAAAUAGAAAAAAAUCAUCCAUAUAAUUUUGUAGCUAAUAUUUCAGCUUGAUUGAAUAUAACAAUAAAUUAUAUUAAAUAAUAUUGUUCUCUUUUCCAUUAAAAUCUAAUUUGUUUUGGGAGAAAUUGCAAAUAAAACCAUUAUGCUUCAAAUGGACUAAAGUAUUAUUCUGACGUACAAAGGCAUACGGCAGAUAUAAGUCUUUUGAUGACACUAGCAAUCAAAUUCUUCCUGAUAGGAUAUAUUUCAUAUUAACUACCUAAAUCCUUUAGAUUGCUUGUGUAAGCUUAGUAAGUGCCAAGAUGAUACAUCAAAGCCAGAAAACAAGUAAUAUAAUGCCUUUUAAUGAGAUAGGAAUGAAAUUCAAGGUUUUAAGAUUUAUGCUAAUUUCAUUCUAUUGAUUUCAAUGGGUCUAAUUAAACUGCUUCUAUUUAAUGCACAGUGUAUUAUGUAGGACACAUAGUGUCUUUCCUAUGCAAGAAAGCCUCCAAUUAACAGCAUACAAUGCAACAUUGUGUAGUUAACAAAUUAAGAUAAGAAAAUAGGACAGCAAGCUCAGUAAGGUUUAAUGGACUCUCUAAAUUGGUGAGUAUAAAGUCUCUCUCUGCCUUAGAAGCUGAAAGGAUUGCGUUAGAUCUGUGUGUUCAGAAAGGUAAGUCACUUAAGGAUUCAAAGUUUGGAUUAAAAAAGUACUUGCAUGCUUUUUCGGCCCUUGUAAAUUCUCCUUCAAUGCGACUGUACCACAGGGGCAAACUCUGUCCCCAAUGUUUUUAUUCAUGCAUUAGAAUGCUUGCAGUGAACCCCAAAAUGAAUAUUUGCAGAGCCUACUAUGUGUAUUCACUGUCUUGAGAUUUUUAUAAAAAUAAUAAAAGCAGGGUAUAAACAAACAAAUAGUUCCCCAGACUAGAUACAGUAGACCAAUUUCUGCAGAAGAGAACUUGAAAUGCUUCUGAGCUAGAAACUAGAGAUUCAUUUUGUAAUAUAAACUCUGUGUGACCAAUGAAGCGAGAUAGAAUGUCUGUACCUGUAUAUAAGUGUGUGAGUUGUGUGUUUGUCUGUCUGCUGGUGUGAUCUAUAUGCAUGUGUGUAUCUGCUAGUGUGCAUAUAUAAGGAUUCAGAAUCCAACUCUGGUUUAUUGUCCAGAACUUCUCUUUUGAUCUCAUUAGAGAUUCAGCUUGGGGCUAAAUUUGGUACAUUUUCAAUGGACUUUUCUAUCAAGGGAAAAAAAAAGAAUGUGCAGCAGAGCAAACGGGUGAUUUAUAACAGCUGUGUUGAAUAAGGGGAAAAUAUGGCACAAUAAUUUAUAGGAGGAAAAGUUAUUAGAAUAAAAAUGUGAAUUCUACUUCUUUCUCCUUCCUCUUUUCAGAAUGCAAUUAAAUGAGCCACGAAUGAAUGGUUCCCUGUUAGUGAAAUCAUAUAAAAUAAAAUGACCUGACCAAAGGACUGUCAAAAUAAUGAGGAAAAAUGUGCAAUCCUUAAAAAGAGAAAGAACUAAUUAAUACCUGGAACUCUUUGGGCUUCUCCCUUGUUCUUCUUCCCUUAUCUCACUCCACCCCUGCCAUUAGCCAUAAUUCAGAAUUUAACCUGAAGAAAUGCUAUUUAUUUAUCUGUAUGGGCAAGAGAAGCUGGAAAUACAGACAUACAUCUACUAAGUAUCACCAUAGCUACAAAUUACAUUAGGAAAGCUCCUCGUUAUCAAAUAUUAAGCAAAUGGAAGGACAGGGUCUGCUGGUUGUUGAAGGUUACAUGAGAUAGUAUUCUUCAGUGAAUUCUAUACAUAGAAGUGGUUGAGGACAAUUAAGCUUUGGGUAGAAAGCAUCUUAUCUACAGAUCCUCUAAAGCAGGGGAAACAAUGAUUUUCAAACAUACCUUCCUUCUACUGCUUUUCUCCUUCUUUCCAGAAAAUUGCCAUCAGUUUUAUGCAGACCCUGUCAGCACCUUUUGGAAACAGGAGAAACAGAUGGGAGCUCAUGAACAAAACUAGCUAAUAGGGGAGCAGGGAAGGCUUGUGAAGGAAUUCUACGGGGGAUGAUUUCUGGAGACUGAUGAGCAAGGGGAGUUUAGCUACUGGGUAAUGAAGCCAGUGCGUCAAGUUCUAUAGAAGUCUAACAUAGGAAUCAGUCUUCAAAUUCAACAGUUCCUUAAAAAA